Molecule: ribosomal RNA, 252 nt
Filed under: uncultured bacterium
Lineage: Bacteria
Description: partial 16S ribosomal RNA
Rfam family: Bacterial small subunit ribosomal RNA
Source: RNAcentral
ACGGGGGGUGCAAGCGUUAUUCGGAUUUACUGGGCGUAAAGCGCGCGUAGGCGGCCGUUUAAGUCAGAUGUGAAAGCCCGGGGCUCAACCCCGGAAGUGCAUUUGAUACUAUUCGGCUUGAGUAUGGGAGAGGGAAGUGGAAUUCCUGGUGUAGAGGUGAAAUUCGUAGAUAUCAGGAGGAACACCGGUGGCGAAGGCGACUUCCUGGACCAAUACUGACGCUGAGGCGCGAAGGCGUGGGUAGCAAACAGG